Gossypium raimondii (Peruvian cotton) is the source of this 486-nucleotide long non-coding RNA. RefSeq lists it as uncharacterized. The transcript has 3 exons. Lineage: Eukaryota; Viridiplantae; Streptophyta; Magnoliopsida; Malvales; Malvaceae. The record is from RefSeq and is a predicted model, not a curated record.
UUAAGCUUUAGCUAUUCCAAGUAAAACUUUUGAUUUACCUUUUUUUAAUUUCUUUAUUUUUUAUUUAUGAUUCUGUGAUUUAAUAUUUUUUUUUUGAAUUUUGUAGUAAUUGAUGGAUUGAAGGAGAAAUUUGCUGAGGCGACGAGGCAAAACAAUGUUAAAGCUAUUGUUCUCACUUGCAAGGGAUGAAGGUUUUCCAAUGGUUUUGAAAUCAAAGUUUUCACGAAAGUUCAGAGAACCGAUCGGGAAUCCGAAGAUAAACGCGGAAAAGAGAAAGUAUCGAACUAGUUUCUGAACUUUUACAACUCCUGCAAAUUGGCCCAGGUAAGUUCAUAUGGCUGAAUUUUUAUGAUUAAUUGUUAAUGUGGAAAUGAUAUAAUGUAUCAAUCUGUAUAUUGUUGUUGAAUUAUGAUUAUGGUAAAAAUGAGAAUGAAAUGAGAUUGUUAGUUCAAAUUAAGGGAUACGCGAGAUUGAGUACAUACGUUC